GAGUUUGAUCAUGGUUCAGGAUGAACGCUAGCGGCAGGCUUAACACAUGCAAGUCGAGGGGCAGCACGGGUAGCAAUACCUGGUGGCGACCGGCGGAAGGGUGCGUAACGCGUGAGCAACAUGCCCUAUACAGGGGAAUAAACCAGGGAAACUUGGUCUAAUGCCCCAUAGCAAUAAGAUAAGGCAUCUUAUUUUAUUUAAAGCUUCGGUGGUAUAGGAUUGGCUCGCGUGACAUUAGCUGGAUGGUGGGGUAACGGCCCACCAUGGCGAUGAUGUCUAGGGGUUCUGAGAGGAAGACCCCCCACACUGGGACUGAGACACGGCCCAGACUCCUACGGGAGGCAGCAGUGAGGAAUAUUGGACAAUGGAUGGAAAUCUGAUCCAGCCAUGCCGCGUGCAGGAAGACGGCCCUAUGGGUUGUAAACUGCUUUUCUACGGGAGCAAUAAGGUCUACGCGUAGACUGAUGAGAGUACCGUAGGAAUAAGCAUCGGCUAACUCCGUGCCAGCAGCCGCGGUAAUACGGAGGAUGCGAGCGUUAUCCGGAUUUAUUGGGUUUAAAGGGUGCGUAGGCGGCUUUUUAAGUCAGCGGUGAAAUUUUGCAGCUUAACUGUAACAGUGCCGUUGAUACUGGGGAGCUAGGAUUUGGUUGCUGUGGGUGGAAUGUGUGGUGUAGCGGUGAAAUGCUUAGAGAUCACACAGAAUAUCGAUUGCGAAAGGCAGCUCACAAAGCCAAGAUUGACGCUGAGGCAC
This 751-nucleotide ribosomal RNA is filed under the name uncultured bacterium. Its description in RNAcentral is "bacterial SSU rRNA". It matches the Rfam family "Bacterial small subunit ribosomal RNA", at positions 9 to 754 of the family's 1533-position model. The record is from RNAcentral.